AGCCGUUCUGCCUUACAGGGUUGGGACCCCGGAAGCUUAUCGGCGCGGUUGCGGCCGCGGCUCCCUGUGUUUUGAUCAGAACACCACGUUCCUGCUUAACAGAAAUUGGUCAGUAUGCGCUUAAUGCUCAUAGUGUGGCGUCCGGACACGCAGCGAGAGAAAAACGCAAUAACCUGGUCCGUCAGCGUUGCUUGCUUCAGCAGGCCUUAAAUAUGUGCUGCAUCUUUUGGGGGACGUUACUUAAGAGGCAAACAUCUGGCUCGAAGUCUUCCAUUAUUUUCAGCAAGCAUUUAGGAGGUGACUGCACUAUAAGGAGAAUAACCCACAGUAGCACAGGUUGGGAGUCUGCACAGUGCCGAGGCCAGCUCAGUCUUCACUAUUCGAACGAAGGAAGCCUGGGGCAACUGUUUGUUUUCUCUGCCCUGCGUGUUAGUUGCCCGUUGUUUUUGGAGAAAAAACUAGUAUCGGGGUAUAUUGGUGGAAAAAUUUGGAUUUGGCAGCUUGAAGCCUUUUUUGCGACAAGCUUAGGUUAGGAAGGGAUAGAGGGGAGGAAAGAAAAAAUAAUUUUCGACCAUAGUAGAUCUGCGAAAGCAGACCUUCUGUUUGUCCUCUUAUCUAUAGUCUUUCCCUCACCCCCCACCCCUUGUCUCCUAAAAACCAGUCCAGACUUUCCCCGCCACCUCCGUCCUUGUAGCAGAUAACGUUGCUCCUUCCUUCAUGGAUAAAUUGAAGGCCAACAGACAAAAACUUUUCAACUCUUUGCUGCUCUGUCCGCUCUAAAUUUAUCUUUACACCUUCAGAGAAGAGCACCCUUCUGUUUUCCCCUCCUACCUCAAACCCAGUAGGUCAAAAUUCUUCCAUCAAUCAUUUUUACCCAUUCUAUCUCUCUCUUUCAUUUAUACAGAUUCCAAGCUGCCUUUCUUCUAAAAAAAAAAAAAAAAAAAAAGUAAAAAAACUCCUUUGACCUUGCCUUUCUAAAUGAAAUCUGUCUGUUGUUUUCAUGGCUGCACUUCUUGAAACCAUGUUCUACAAUUGCUACAUUUGCUUCUUAACCUUCUGUCUUCAGUCCAUAGCCCACCAAUCCACUGAAACUAUUCUAGCUAAGGCUACGAUACCCAAGCCUCCUAAUUGGCAGGUCUAAGGGACCCUUUCUGACAUAGGUGAUGUAAUUUACCACCAAUCUCUGUCACUUGUGACUGCUGUUUCCUCCCUGAACGUUUCUUCUCCCUGGUUCUUGUUCACAGCCCCUGAUAUUUCCUCCCAGGCUCUCUCUUCUGCCCACCCAGCAAAUGUUUUUGUUCCUUACAGUUCCCUCCUAAAUGUUCUCUGUUCUCUCACCGUGUUCUUCAUGAGUGAUGUAAUAAAUUCUCAAGGCUCUCAAAUCUGUAGUUCCAAUCUGAUGCUGUUUCCAGAGCUUCAGAUUCACAUUUUUAGUUGCCUUCUGGAUGUCACCUUGAAAUCAUUCAAAACUUCAAAUUCAGUAUUUGCAAACAAAACUGAUCAUCUUCUCUUCUUCCUCCAAGCUUACCCAUUUUUUCUUUUUAUCAAUAUGUUUAUUUAUUUAUUUUUUGAGACAGAGUCUUGCUCCGUUGCCCAGGCUGGAGUGCAGUGGCACGAUCUCGGCUCACUGCAACCUCCGCUUCCUGGGUUCAAGUGAUUCUCCUGCCUCAGCCUCCUCAGUAGCUGGGAUUACAGGUGCCCACCACCGCACCCAGCUAAUUUUUGUAUUUUCAGUAAAGAUGGGGUUUCACAAUGUUGGCCAGGCUGGUCUUGAACUCCUGACCUCAUGAUCCACCUGCCUCGGCCUCCCAAAGUGCUGGGAUUACAGGCGUGAGCCACUGUGCCUGGCUCAUCAGUAUGUUUAGUUGCUCACUUCAGAACUCUCAGAGUCAUCCUUGACUACUAUUUCAUCCAUUCAAUACCAAAUACUUACUUUUUACUUAUCCAGUGACAGGCACUGUACUAGGUGGUAGAGAUGUGGUGGUGAAGAAAAGAGACAGAGUGGAAGAGACAGACAAAAACUUAGCAAAAAAAAUUAUAAUUUCAAACUGUGAUAAGUACCGGUGAAGGAAGCACAGUACUGAGAUAUGAACAAUGGUGGUAGGAAGCAGGUGGGGCACCUGCUUUUGAGAAUGUAGUCAGGUAAGCCUCUUUUAGGAGGUAUCAUUUAAAUUAGGGCCUGAAGAAUGAGGCAUCGGUUAAGGUACAUUGAAGCAAACAAGGACUGUCUGUAAACUGAAGUAAACGAACCUCUCUUUAGGAAAUUCAGAAGAAAGAAAAUUAUCUCGAGGAAGUUGGUCAGAAGAAAAUGGGCAGAUCAUGAAAUGUUAGUUGUCCCCCAAAGUCGGUUCUCCCCUUUUACAGUGCUAAUACAUUGCUACUUGGGCACAUGAAUCCCAGCUAGAGACCACAUUGCCUGAAUUUCCUUACAACCAAGUGUGGUCAAGUUCUCACUAAUGGAAUAUGAAUGAAAGUUGUAUGUGUCCUCUGCAUCACUUGCUUAAAAAGAAAUCGGUUGCCCUCUACUUUGGCCCUCUUGGCCUUUCCAGCGCUAGGUGGCGCCAGUGCAGAUCCACUGCAGUGCCCCACCUUUAACCAUGCAAAUUAGGAAAAAUACCUAGGGUCGAGGAAAGAAACCAGUGAAUGCAGAAGGGGCAGGAUUGGAAAACAAAACAAAACAAAACAAAACAAAAAAAAAAAAACAACCAAACCAAACCAAAAUAAAACCAAAACAGCAGAGUCCAUGGAUGAAUUAAUGAAGCUGAUCCACCCUAUAGCCUCCACCACUCCUACCUCUGGACUGUUAGAUGAGAAAUAAGCUUCCAUCUUAAUUCAAUCACUAUAUUUUGGGGUCUCUUUAUUAUUACAGCAUACUCUGUACUCUAACUAAUAGAGGGAGGUUCCCAGAAGAAAAUCCUGGAUAAGCAGAACUCAGAGCAGGAACCAAAAGAGCUCCAGGUAUCUACAGGGCACCCCAAUGGGAUGAACCAUCCUCAGUAUCCUCUAAGAAGAGUCUGAUUUUCUAGUUUGAGUUCUGUAUUCUUCUACAAUCUGUAUUUAUAUGCAUACCUAUUUUUAUUUUUGUUAUUUAUUUAUUUUUUGAGACGAAGUUUCGCUCCGCUUGCCCAAGCCAGAGUGCAAUGGUGUGAUCUCAGCUCAUUGCAACCUCCGCCUCCUGGGUUCAAGUGAUUCUCCUGCCUCAGCCUCCAGAGCAGCUGGGAUUACAGGCACGUGCCACCAUGCCCAGCUAAUUUUUUGUAUUUUUAGUAGAAACGGGGUUUCACCAUGUUAGCCAGGCUGGUCUCGAACUCCUGAUCUUAGGUGAUCCACCCGCCUCAGCCUCCCAAAGUGCUGGGCUUACAGGCAUGAGCCACCACGCCCGGCCAUGCAUACCUAUUUUUAUUAUAAUUAUGUUGUAAAUAAAACAUCUGUGUCUUGCUUUUCUUUCCCACAUGUUACUAUGUUUUUGGUGGCAGUAUAAUCUUUUAUUAUUAUUAUUAUUUGAGACAGAGUCUUGCUCUGUCUCCCAGGGUGGAGUGCAGUAGCGCGUCUCAGCUCACUGCAACCACCACCUUCCCAGUUCAAAUGAUUCUCCUGCUUUAGCCUCCUGAGUAGCUGGGACUACAGGCAGGCUUCACCACACCCAGCUAAUUUUUGUAUUUUUAGUAGAGAUGGGGGUUUCACCAUGUUGGCCAGGCUGGUCUCGAACUCCUGGCCUCAGGUGAUCUGCCCGCCUCCCAAAGUGCCGGGAUUACAGGUGUGAGCCACUGCUCCCGGCCAGGUGGCCCUAUAAUCUUUUGAUUUGGUGCAUCAUAAUUUAUGACUAUUUAAAUUGAACCACUAUCAGUCACACUAAUCACUUUACUAUUCUAUAUAUUUCACCUUUAUUGUUUUAUGAAUUAGUGAUCGGCAUAGUAUCCAGUGCUAAGUCAGUUAUGCACAACCUCGAAUCAGCCGUUUGCUUUUUUUUUUUUUUUUUUUUUUUUUGAGACGGAGUCUCGCUCUGUCGCCAAAGCUGUAGUGCAGUGACGCGAUCCCAGCUCACUGCAAGCUUCGGCUCCCGGGUUCACGCCAUUCUCCUGCCUCAGCCUCUCGAGUAGCUAGCUGGGACUACAGGAGCCCGCCACCACGCC
This 4133-nucleotide long non-coding RNA is filed under the name Homo sapiens (human). RNAcentral's name for it is "non-protein coding lnc-ARF6-5:6". Lineage: Eukaryota; Metazoa; Chordata; Mammalia; Primates; Hominidae. The record is from RNAcentral.